RNAcentral lists this ribosomal RNA (426 nucleotides) under uncultured bacterium. Its description in RNAcentral is "bacterial SSU rRNA". It matches the Rfam family "Bacterial small subunit ribosomal RNA", at positions 354 to 796 of the family's 1533-position model. The record is from RNAcentral.
GUCGAGAAUCUUCGGCAAUGGGGGCAACCCUGACCGAGCGACGCCGCGUGGUGGAUGAAGGCCUUCGGGUUGUAAACACCUGUUGGGGGGGAACAAAUUUGAGUGAACCCCUGAGGAAGCACGGGCUAAGUUCGUGCCAGCAGCCGCGGUAAGACGAACCGUGCAAACGUUACUCGGAAUCACUGGGCUUAAAGAGCACGUAGGCGGCGACGUAAGUCAGAGGUGAAAUACCAUCGGCUCAACCGUGGAACAGCCUCUGAUACUGUGUUGCUUGAGGGGGAACGGGGCAUUCGGAACUUCCGGUGGAGCGGUGAAAUGUGUUGAUAUCGGAAGGAACGCCGGUGGCGAAAGCGGAAUGCUGGGUCUCUUCUGACGCUGAGGUGCGAAAGCUAGGGUAGCGAACGGGAUUAGAUACCCGAGUAGUCC